AUACGGAGGGACCAAGCGUUGUUCGGAAUCAUUGGGCGUAAAGAGCGCGUAGGCGGCUUGGUAAGUCGGGUGUGAAAUCCCGGGGCCCAACCCCGGAACUGCAUUCGAAACUGCCUCGCUAGAGUCUCAGAGAGGAAGGCGGAAUUCCCGGUGUAGAGGUGAAAUUCGUAGAUAUCGGGAGGAACACCAGCGGCGAAGGCGGCCUUCUGGACGAUGACUGACGCUGAGGUGCGAAAGCGUGGGGAGCAAACAGAAUUAGAAACCCCAGUAGUCC
This 274-nucleotide ribosomal RNA is filed under the name uncultured bacterium. Its description in RNAcentral is "partial 16S ribosomal RNA". It matches the Rfam family "Bacterial small subunit ribosomal RNA", at positions 523 to 796 of the family's 1533-position model. The record is from RNAcentral.